UAUUUAUUAUCUCCAUCUACUCUUUCAGGUGCCAUUUGUGGUGGGCACUGCUGUACGAAUGCAACCGAAUUGGAGCUGAGAAAGGAAUCCACCGGCGAAUUUUAACGUUUGUUGCAUCAUCACACUAAUAGUCUGCGCGGCAUACUCGAAUCUACGGCGAAUCUAUUUCAAAAGCAUUUCCUAGUCCUAAAGGAAUAAUAAGAGAAUAAUACCCUGGCUGUCUAAUCACAAGUUUACGAAGGCGUGGUAUCACAAUCGAGUGAAUUGAUCCUUCAAUUCAGAAAACCUUAAGUACAAGCAUUUUGAAACUGGGCACGACAACAUCAUCAACAGGUAGCGUCAACCAUUUGGAUGAUCCGGAAGAUGCCAUACAAAAAUUCCUUGUGAAUCUCUUUCCGGUGGCCUAUCACUUGAUUUUCGAUUGGAAGGAAGAUUAUGGAAUACAUCAAUUGCUAGAAGGAGAUAUUCAACGACCUACAGUCAUUUGGCAGAAUAUCAAAGGAGAUCAAAUCUUUAUAAAUUCUUCGCAACAGCGCGCUGAGGUUCUCAGCUAAACUGGUCAGUUGUAGAUGUAAAAGAGAACGUAUAAAUUAGAGAAGAUGUAACAGUAGUAAAGUAGAUGUAACAGAGAACUUUUAUAUUAGAGAAGGUUCAAUUGCGGACCAGCGUAUAAAUUGUCAAAAGUAAAGAAAAUGUGAAGAGCAUAUUUCACCACAGCCAGCAGAAUGAAGAAAUUUUAACAGAGCCUCGCGAACAGAAAUGAGCAUUGAUUGAAAUUAGGCUCAGACAUUUCUUUUGAUAUUACAACCGGUUGUUAGUCCUUUGGCUUAUAUUUUUGUACAUUUAUAUGCCAUCAUGUACAUUGGUAUGAAUAUCAUUAGGCGAAUCUUUAUGAAAGGGAGUUAACUUUCCGUAGUUUGCAGCACGUUAUUUUUUAAAAAUUGGUAAGAACGCUACUCAAUUCUAGUGAGAUACACUAAACAGAGCUUUUUUUAUUUCUUAUACCUUUGUACAUUAUUUUGCUCAGGCUUAAAAAAAAAUCAGCUUACAUUCUAGGAAGCGCACAGUUUAGGUGUUAGAUGAUGUGCUUCCUAAUUCUACGUAAAACCUUAAGUAUUAGGUAAUGCUUUAUUUAUUUAUUCUCUCAAUAUGUCGUUUAUAAAUCUUUUGAAAUUUUUUAACCCGAACUCCUGCCGGAGUUAUAAAAGCUAUUUUCUCGAUGUCCCUUUCUGCCACUAAAAUCUGGUGCAAAAGUACUGUGCUUUGGCCAAUUUAUCCAAGAUUCCUUCGAUAUUUAGUAGAGGAUACUUAUCGUCUUUAGUUAAAUUAUUUAAUAUCCUGUUAUCAACUACUAGCCUGAAUUUCUGUAUUCCUGAAUUAUCUAUCUUCUUUGGUACCAUUAAGAGUGGUAAGCUUUAUUUACUGUGACUUUCAUAAUUAUUCCUUGCUCUUUUAACAAAUUUGUCGUCUUACUUUCUCAUUAUGUUUGGAAGGUAAUCAAUAUAUCUUGGAUUUAUUUGUUCAUCCGUUACUGUUUUGCACUUGUGAGCAUGUUUCCUUCCGUAUAGUUGUUGUCUGCUAUUUCUCGAGCUUCUUUGCUGUCUCGAGUAAUUAAAAUAGUUUUGAUUUGCUUGAAUAAUUUGAAUGACUUUGCCCCGAGAUUCAUCACCAGAUUAGAUUGUCUUUAUCUAAUCCAGUAAAUUUGUAAAUUUCAUUCGUCAUAUCUGUGCAUCAUGUAAUUGAUUGCACUGUUAAUAAAUAAUAGUUAUUUUAUUAUGAUCUGUACUUUAUUAAGUCUCUUUAAAAACUUAACUUACAUUUUACACGCAUACACAUGCUUGUACAAACGAACUUUUAUUUUUAAAUUUAUUUUAAAAAACAAUUAAUAAAGGAAUACAAGAAUAAAUUAGUAUAAUUUUACAGCCGUCGACCUGUCUUCGAUGUUCGCUUUCUCUUCGACUUCACUUGAAUAACUCCCACCGAGUCGUAUCUUCUGUCACAUCAACUCAGAGACGUAUUUUGUGGCGUGACACAUUUCACUUCCAACUACAGCUUAACCUACGCUACCGCUAGCUCUAGCUGUGGCUACCCGCCGUAGACGUUGGGAGUGUUUUGAGUCAGCGAAUCCCACAGUUUCUGCUUUUGGGAUUGGGUUACUAUGUUCUGCAUUGUCUGGUCGGAUGUUAGGCAGACAAUGCACACUGUGUAAUUUGACUGCCAGUGUUUUGGGUUAACUCCUCUCUUCCUAAGCGAGGAUCGUUCGCGAUCCUUUCAGUUACCUUUUUUACCAAGACAUCUAUUGCCCUUUUAGCAAGUGAGCAAAAGUAAACAAAUAGGUACCGCUGACGUUUCUGAUAUUUCCAAAGUGAUCCUCUAUUUCAGCCAUGACAUUAUUAAUAAUAGCAAUAUCAUCGUCAAUUUACUAUAAUUGGCGGAAGUUGAGCAGUUCGCUACAGUUCCCAUAAUGAGCUGUUUACCGCAAGUGGUAGUUUUUAGUGUUUUGCAAAAUGUAGCAAACGUAGAUUUUUCACAUUUCAGGGCGUACGCAUUAUUUCCGCAUUCAGCAACGGUAGUACUCGUCCUUGGUGCGACACGGCGAAUAAGUAAUUUUCUUACAAAAUAUCUUAGGUAUAGGAUAUUUUAUAACAAAAUACAAAUUGUCACUGUCACCUUAAUUUUAGACAUUUCUAAUACUUCUAUUAUAGUUAGGUUGUUCGUCGAUAAGUGUAUUUAAAUUAGUAUUGUCUAGUACUUAGUACAAGGCUAAUUAAAUUAGGUUAGGCUAAUGUUAUAGAAACAUUCCCUCUUUUUUCGGAAUUGGAGCCUCUCCAAUCGGUAUCCGUAUAGGGUGUCUAUUGUAUUUAUUUUUGUUGCAGAUUUCACAAUUCCUUACAAAUUGUUUAAAUUGUUUCUUCAUUAGUGGCCAGUAGUAAACUUUAGAAAAUUGUUUUAAAUUUUCUUUAUAACACCUGUACGCUCUUAUAUGUGUUUGUUUAAUUAUUUUUUCUUGAUCCUCUUCGUUAGUUAUAUAAUAUCAAUAGCUAUUAUAUCUGUAUGGAAAACUUUCUUUGCAAUUCUGUUUCGCAAAAUUCGUCUUCAAUUAUUUUUAAAUGUUCACUUAAUUCUUGUCUAUCAUCAUCAUCCAUUGUACCAAAUAAAAUAUUUAAACCUUUUCCUACAAUGUUUGCUAAUGCUCUUUUUUGUCUAAUUUUUAAAGGUUUGAUUGAAGUUAAUUUACUUCGUGCUAUAUUUAAUAUGAAUAAUAAAUUGUUUGUUGAUUUAUUAUUUUGAAAUGUGUUAUUAAAUUUCUCUAGUGCGGUAUUUAGUUUUGUUAUUAUAUUUUCAUAGUCUGCUAAAUCUAUAAUAUGAUAUACCUUAUUAAAAUCCUCUAUUACGUCCAAUUUUGCUUUCUUUAAAAUUGUAUAUCCUGUAUCGUAAUUAAGCUGUGUUAUUCUU
Molecule: long non-coding RNA, 3456 nt
Organism: Bactrocera dorsalis (oriental fruit fly)
Lineage: Eukaryota; Metazoa; Arthropoda; Insecta; Diptera; Tephritidae
Exons: 3
Source: RefSeq, a predicted model, not a curated record